This is a long non-coding RNA of Ornithorhynchus anatinus (platypus), 1106 nucleotides long. RefSeq lists it as uncharacterized. Lineage: Eukaryota; Metazoa; Chordata; Mammalia; Monotremata; Ornithorhynchidae. The transcript has 3 exons. The record is from RefSeq and is a predicted model, not a curated record.
UGGGCUGCUUCACUGGUUCUGCUAAAGAGGUGUUUUUCUCUCUGUGGUGCUGGGGCUUGGUGAGGGGGUUAUUGGACACUAGGCCCACUUCAACCAUCUGCUAGCAGUGGAUGUUCAGUGUAAUUUCCAGUCUUGAGGACCAUCCCUCUGCCGUUCGGACCAUGGCAUUAAAUCUCAGAUCUGCCCUGACAUUGAGAUGCAGCUGUGAGCUGUACUGCUACCUCAGAGGGAAGCCCCCCAAAGCACCAGCAGACCACUUCGAUUUCUGCUCUGAUGCCAUGGAGCGCUGUUGGAGGAAAUCCAGGCACUAGGACCACCCUGACCAUUUCAGAGGGGAAAAGGAAUCUCAUCUUGCUUUCUCUCCUGCUCAGCAACCAUAGUUCACCUCCUUGCUGCACUCCCAUUCCAUUGCUAUUGCCUUGACCCUCCGGUGUAAAAUUAACUCCUGCUUUAAACUCCCAGUCUUUCCUACUUGUUGUCACUGAAGUAACUGUCAGUACUUAAUACAGUGGUCUGUACUGAAGAAGUACUGAACAAAGAUUCCGGUGACGACCCCUCCCCCCCACCCCCGAAGCCCCUGGACUUGCCCUGUCCCCAAACCUUCCUCACCUACUCUACAUCAUGCUAAGUGUUGUUCUCUGUCACACCUGUCUGAGUUCGAAAUAUACAAUGCCUGGCAGUGCACAGGUUGGGGUGGCAUGUCCAAGAAAAAAUAUUUAGUCACUAUUACUUUCUCUACAGCGGGUGCCCAAUGCAAGGAUCGUAUCUGUGCCAUUUUGGAUCAUGAGAUCAAGCCUCAGACCUGUCCUGACAUUGAGAUGGAUCUGUAGGCUGGACUCCGACCUCAAAGGGAAAGUGCUUUUUUUUGUGGGUAUGUGUGUGGGUGUGUGUGGGAGAGAGAGAGAGAGACAGAAAGGGGUUAGGGUUAAUGGGGCAGGGUGAGAGAGCAGGGAGGAAGAGGAGGCCACUGUGGACACAAAAGUUGCUUCUGGAAAUGGGGACUGGGGCUCUGUGCAGCAAAUUGAUUCUGUUAGACUUGACUGUGGGUCUGAGGAGACUCGGGGCCCUUAAUUCUAUAGACGGAUCUAACCUCUGGGUUCUCACAG